GGGUGAGUAAUGUAUGAGCAACCUGCCUUUCAGAGGGGGACAACAGUUGGAAACGACUGCUAAUACCGCGUAAUGUAUAAGGGCGGCAUCGUCUUUAUACCAAAGGAGCAAUCCGCUGAAAGAUGGGCUCAUAUCUGAUUAGCUUGUUGGCGGGGUAACGGCCCACCAAGGCGACGAUCAGUAGCCGGACUGAGAGGUUGAACGGCCACAUUGGGACUGAGAUACGGCCCAGACUCCUACGGGAGGCAGCAGUGGGGAAUAUUGGGCAAUGGGCGAAAGCCUGACCCAGCAACGCCGCGUGAAGGAAGAAGGUCUUCGGAUUGUAAACUUCUUUUAUGAGGGACGAAGGAUGUGACGGUACCUCAUGAAUAAGCCACGGCUAACUACGUGCCAGCAGCCGCGGUAAUACGUAGGUGGCGAGCGUUAUCCGGAUUUACUGGGUGUAAAGGGCGCGUAGGCGGGGGUGCAAGUCAGAUGUGAAAUCUAUGGGCUCAACUCAUAAACUGCAUUUGAAACUGUACUUCUUGAGUGCUGGAGAGGUAGAUGGAAUUCCUUGUGUAGCGGUGAAAUGCGUAGAUAUAAGGAAGAACACCAGUGGCGAAGGCGAUCUACUGGACAGU
This 620-nucleotide ribosomal RNA is filed under the name uncultured bacterium. Its description in RNAcentral is "bacterial SSU rRNA". It matches the Rfam family "Bacterial small subunit ribosomal RNA", at positions 104 to 737 of the family's 1533-position model. The record is from RNAcentral.